Molecule: ribosomal RNA, 1132 nt
Filed under: uncultured bacterium
Lineage: Bacteria
Description: bacterial SSU rRNA
Rfam family: Bacterial small subunit ribosomal RNA
Source: RNAcentral
CAUCAGCUAGUUGGUAGGGUAAUAGCCUACCAAGGCAAUGACGGGUAGGGGACCUGAGAGGGUGGCCCCCCACAAUGGAACUGAAACACGGUCCAUACACAUACGGGUGGCAGCAGUAGGGAAUAUUAGAAAUGGGCGAAAGCCUGAUCUAGCAACACCGCGUGUGCGAUGAAGGCCUUCGGGUUGUAAAGCACUUUUUGGAGGGAAUAGGAAGGAAGGUACCUCCAGAAUAAGUCUCGGCUAACUACGUGCCAGCAGCCGCGGUAACACGUAGGAGGCAAACGUUAUCCGGAUUCACUGGGCGUAAAGCGCGUGUAGGUGGUUCUGUAAGUAGGGCGUGAAAGCUCCCGGCUCAACUGGGAGAGGCCGUACUAAACUGCAGAGCUAGAGGAUGGUAGAGGGAGGUGGAAUUCCAGGUGUAGUGGUGAAAUGCGCAGAUAUCUGGAGGAACACCAGUGGCGAAGGCGGCCUCCUGGACCAUUCCUGACACUCAGACGCGAAAGCUAGGGUAGCAAACGGAAUUAGAGAUUCCGGUAGUCCUAGCCUUAAACGAUGCAGAUUAGGCGUCGGCGGUUUAAUCACCGUCGGUGUCCAAGCUAACGCGAUAAGUGUGCCGCCUGAGGAGUACGGCCGCAAGGCUAAAACUCAAAGGAAUUGACGGGUCCCCGCACAAGCAGCGGAGCGUGUGGUUUAAUUCGAUGCUCCGCGAAGAACCUUACCUGGGUUUGACAUAACAGUGGUAGAGAAGUGAAAACGGAUCGACCCUUCGGGGAGCUGUUACAGGUGUUGCAUGCCUGUCGUCAGCUCGUGUCGUGAGAUGUUCGGUUAAGUCCGCUAACGAGCGCAACCCACGCUGUGUGUUACAAGUGUCACACAGUACCGCCGGUAUUAAGUCGGAGGAAGGUGCGGAUGACGUCAAGUCAGCAUGACCUUUAUAUCCAGGGCUACACACACGCUACAAUGGUCAGAACAAUAGGUUGCCAAGCCGCAAGGCGGAGCCAAUCCUCCAAAUCUGUCCUCAGUUCAGAUUGCGGGCUGCAACUCGCUUGCAUGAAGUCGGAGUUGCUAGUAUCCGCAGGUCAGCAUACUGCGGUGAAUACGUUCCCGGGGAUUGUACACACCGCCCGUCAAG